This 497-nucleotide ribosomal RNA is filed under the name uncultured bacterium. RNAcentral's name for it is "partial 16S ribosomal RNA". It matches the Rfam family "Bacterial small subunit ribosomal RNA", at positions 28 to 507 of the family's 1533-position model. The record is from RNAcentral.
GAUGAACGCUGGCGGCGUGCCUAAUACAUGCAAGUCGAGCGAACGGACGAUAAGCUUGCUUCUCUGAUGUUAGCGGCGGACGGGUGAGUAACACGUGGAUAACCUACCUAUAAUACUGGGAUAACUUCGGGAAACCGGUUCUACUACCGGCUAAUAUUUUGAACCGCAUUUUUCAUAAGUGUAAGUCUGUCUUUCUGUCACUUAUAGAUUGUUCCGCGCUGCAUUAGCUAGUUGGUAAGGUAACGGCUUACCAAGGCAACGAUGCAUAGCCGACCUGAGAGGGUGAUCGGCCAAACGGGAACUGAGACACGGAAAAGAGUACUACGGGAGGCAGCAGUAGGGAAUCGUCCGCAAAGGGCGAAAGCAUGACGGAGCAACGCCGCGUGAGUGAUGAAGGUCUUAGGAUCGUAAAACUCUGUUAUUAGGGAAGAACAAAUGUGUAAGAAAAUGUGCACAUAGUGAAGGUAACUAAUAAGAAAGAAACGGCUAAAUACGUG